GAUGAACGCUAGCGGCAGGCUUAAUACAUGCAAGUCGAGGGGCAGCAGGUUUGUAGCAAUACAGAUGCUGGCGACCGGCAAACGGGUGCGGAACACGUACACAACCUUCCUUUAAGUGGGGGAAUAGCCCGGGGAAACCCGGAUUAAUACCCCGUACAUUAUGAGUGGCAUCACUUUAUUAAUUAUAGCUCAGGCGCUUAAUGAUGGGUGGUGCGGCUGAUUAGAUAGNGGGUCGGGGGUAACGGGCCCACCCAAGUCUGCGAUCAGUAACUGGUGUGAGAGCACGACCAGUCACACGGGCACUGAGACACGGGCCCGGACUCCUACGGGAGGCAGCAGUAAGGAAUAUUGGUCAAUGGACGCAAGUCUG
This 370-nucleotide ribosomal RNA is filed under the name uncultured bacterium. RNAcentral's name for it is "bacterial SSU rRNA". It matches the Rfam family "Bacterial small subunit ribosomal RNA", at positions 28 to 385 of the family's 1533-position model. The record is from RNAcentral.